GACGAACGCUGGCGGCGUGCUUAACACAUGCAAGUCGAACGGAAAGGCCCUGCUUUUGUGGGGUGCUCGAGUGGCGAACGGGUGAGUAACACGUGAGUAACCUGCCCUUGACUUUGGGAUAACUUCAGGAAACUGGGGCUAAUACCGGAUAGGAGCUCCUGCUGCAUGGUGGGGGUUGGAAAGUUUCGGCGGUUGGGGAUGGACUCGCGGCUUAUCAGCUUGUUGGUGGGGUAGUGGCUUACCAAGGCUUUGACGGGUAGCCGGCCUGAGAGGGUGACCGGCCACAUUGGGACUGGGAUACGGCCCGGACUCCUACGGGAGGCAGCAGUGGGGAAUAUUGCACCAUGGGCGGAAGCCUGAUGCAGCAACGCCGCGUGCGGGAUGACGACCUUCGUGUUGUAAACCGCUUUCGCCUGUGACGAAGCGUGAGUGACGGUGAUGGGUAAAGAAGCACCGGCUAACUACGUG
This 468-nucleotide ribosomal RNA is filed under the name uncultured bacterium. RNAcentral's name for it is "partial 16S ribosomal RNA". It matches the Rfam family "Bacterial small subunit ribosomal RNA", at positions 28 to 507 of the family's 1533-position model. The record is from RNAcentral.